Molecule: ribosomal RNA, 624 nt
Filed under: Mycobacterium sp. Ri3Pt_4308
Lineage: Bacteria; Bacillati; Actinomycetota; Actinomycetes; Mycobacteriales; Mycobacteriaceae
Description: bacterial SSU rRNA
Rfam family: Bacterial small subunit ribosomal RNA
Source: RNAcentral
UGCAGCGACGCCGCGUGAGGGACGACGGCCUAUCGGGUUGUAAACCUCUUUCAGCACAGACGAAGCGCAAGUGACGGUAUGUGCAGAAGAAGGACCGGCCAACUACGUGCCAGCAGCCGCGGUAAUACGUAGGGUCCGAGCGUUGUCCGGAAUUACUGGGCGUAAAGAGCUCGUAGGUGGUUUGUCGCGUUGUUCGUGAAAACUCACAGCUCAACUGUGGGCGUGCGGGCGAUACGGGCAGACUAGAGUACUGCAGGGGAGACUGGAAUUCCUGGUGUAGCGGUGGAAUGCGCAGAUAUCAGGAGGAACACCGGUGGCGAAGGCGGGUCUCUGGGCAGUAACUGACGCUGAGGAGCGAAAGCGUGGGGAGCGAACAGGAUUAGAUACCCUGGUAGUCCACGCCGUAAACGGUGGGUACUAGGUGUGGGUUUCCUUCCUUGGGAUCCGUGCCGUAGCUAACGCAUUAAGUACCCCGCCUGGGGAGUACGGCCGCAAGGCUAAAACUCAAAGAAAUUGACGGGGGCCCGCACAAGCGGCGGAGCAUGUGGAUUAAUUCGAUGCAACGCGAAGAACCUUACCUGGGUUUGACAUGCACAGGACGUGCCUAGAGAUAGGUAUUCCCUU